Rhodocollybia butyracea is the source of this 96-nucleotide non-coding RNA. Lineage: Eukaryota; Fungi; Basidiomycota; Agaricomycetes; Agaricales; Omphalotaceae. The record is from the annotation of a GenBank genome assembly.
ACUCGAAUAGUCAAGUGGUCAAGACACCUUGAAAUUAUAUUGUUCACUGAACAACAAUAUUUCAAGGAGGUGGGGGUUCGAAUCCUCCUUUGGGUG